Bos taurus (domestic cattle) is the source of this 54-nucleotide non-coding RNA. Lineage: Eukaryota; Metazoa; Chordata; Mammalia; Artiodactyla; Bovidae. The record is from Rfam.
AAAGUGGCUUAUGCAACAGCCAUGGACUGGUUCAUAGCCGUGUGUUACGCUUUU